AUGCCAUACGGAGUCACGGGAGGUCCUACGACGUUCCAAGGUGGCAUGAACACAGUCUUGUCGCCGCUGUUACGCCAUGGUGUUCUUGUGUUUAUGCACGACAUUUUGAUGCAUUCCAAAGACCUUGUGGGGCAUAGAGAAUUGCUGCGACAAGUGUUGCAGUUGUUGUCUGAGAAUGAACUCAAGGUCAAGCUUUCCAAAUGCACAUUUGCUCAGCCUCAGAUUGAUUACUUGGGUCAUUGCAUCAGUGCGCAAGGAGUGGCCACGGACCAAAAAAAGGUUGCAGCUGUCAGAGACUGGCCAACACCUUCACCAGUACGUGAGUUGAGGGGCUUCUUGGGGUUAGCCGGGUACUACCGGAAGUUCGUCAGAAACUUUGGGGUUAUCAGUCGACCACUCACUGAUCUACUGAAAAAGAACACACUCUUUGUCUGGACACCCACAACGGAUGCAACUUUCUCCUCUCUGAAACAAGCCUUGAUUGAAGCGCCCGUGCUCACCUUACGGGACUUCGAGAAGGUAUUCGUGGUGGAAACGGAUGCUAGUGCCACCGGUGUGCGAGUCGUCCUUAUGCAAGACCAUCAUCCCUUGGCAUAUCUCAGUAAGCCGCUCUGCUCCAAGAAUUUGGGAUUAUCAGCUUAUGAGAAGGAAUGCUUAUCAGAUUCAGAAAACCCACUGAUUCCUAUGUGUUUGUAA
This 696-nucleotide ribosomal RNA is filed under the name Triticum aestivum (bread wheat). RNAcentral describes it as "partial small subunit ribosomal RNA". The record is from RNAcentral. Lineage: Eukaryota; Viridiplantae; Streptophyta; Magnoliopsida; Poales; Poaceae.